RNAcentral lists this ribosomal RNA (253 nucleotides) under uncultured bacterium. Its description in RNAcentral is "partial 16S ribosomal RNA". It matches the Rfam family "Bacterial small subunit ribosomal RNA", at positions 524 to 776 of the family's 1533-position model. The record is from RNAcentral.
UACAGAGGUCUCAAGCGUUGUUCGGAUUCAUUGGGCGUAAAGGGUGCGUAGGUGGCGGGGUAAGUCAGAUGUGAAAUCUCGGGGCUCAACCCCGAAACUGCAUUUGAUACUGCCUUGCUCGAGUACUGGAGAGGAGAUUGGAAUUUACGGUGUAGCGGUGAAAUGCGUAGAUAUCGUAAGGAAGACCGGUGGCGAAGGCGGGUCUCUGGGCCGAUACUGACGCUGAGGAGCGAAAGCGUGGGGAGCGAACAGG